Molecule: non-coding RNA, 858 nt
Organism: Drosophila melanogaster (fruit fly)
Lineage: Eukaryota; Metazoa; Arthropoda; Insecta; Diptera; Drosophilidae
Source: Ensembl
GAAUGGAAAACACUUGGACAAUCGGUGGCUAAUUGAUUUACGAGGAACUGCAACACGUGUUUACACAACUCCGGAUGAAUCCAACCCCGUCGCGGAAGGAACAAGGACCCCGUCACUCCGCCAAGUUCCGUACAAGUUUGUGCAAUUUGUCACAAUAUGUGUCACAUUAGCCACAGCAAUUGUGCUUAAACGUCACCGUCUCGCCGGGUAUCCGGUUUUUGUGCCUCCUCCCCGGAUGUCGUCAUCGUCGUCAGGGCCGCUAACCAGAUUAAACCCCAAUCGCGACACCGAUACGGCCAAGGAUAUCCUUACGGUCCUCGAAGGGGAUGUUUGUGGUAGGGGUCGCUGAAAAAGUGGGCAAACAAAGAGCCGGGACUCAACCACCGUUGAGCCAACUGCCACCACCACCACCACUAUCACCACUACCACCAUCAUCAUCGGCGAGGAAUCUGCACGCACCCCAUUUCCCUUGCAGGAUAUCCGUGUAAGUCGUUUGCAGAUACACGCAUUAACUGUGGCCGUAAAAAAGAGAUUCAGUGUCCGCAUCAUUAAUCAAAAGCGGACAAGGCCAAACAAGUGCAUUGCGCAUUCCGAAAAAACUGCCCUCGAGAAUGACGAAGCGAUGUCCUGGAAGUCCUUUCUGCAGUGUCCUUUUGCCAUUGAGAGCACCACUUGCACCACCUUCAACCACGUGCUCCUCCGCUGAAUGAUCCUUUUCCGCUCGUUAAUGUGUGAAUUACACAAUUAAUUACUGUGACUGCUAUGGAUGGUAAAGUUAUUCAAAUGCUCUUUCACUUGAGAGGGCACUUUUUUCAUGGAUUUCAAUAUUCCUAAAAUAAAUAACUUGGCAAUGACUAC